Molecule: ribosomal RNA, 252 nt
Filed under: uncultured bacterium
Lineage: Bacteria
Description: partial 16S ribosomal RNA
Rfam family: Bacterial small subunit ribosomal RNA
Source: RNAcentral
ACGUAGGGCGCAAGCGUUAUCCGGAAUUAUUGGGCGUAAAGAGCUCGUAGGCGGUUUGUCGCGUCUAUCGUGAAAGUCCGAGGCUCAACCUCGGAUCUGCGGUGGGUACGGGCAGACUAGAGUGAUGUAGGGGAGACUGGAAUUCCUGGUGUAGCGGUGAAAUGCGCAGAUAUCAGGAGGAACACCGAUGGCGAAGGCAGGUCUCUGGGCAUUAACUGACGCUGAGGAGCGAAAGCAUGGGGAGCGAACAGG